RNAcentral lists this ribosomal RNA (372 nucleotides) under Triticum aestivum (bread wheat). RNAcentral's name for it is "partial small subunit ribosomal RNA". Lineage: Eukaryota; Viridiplantae; Streptophyta; Magnoliopsida; Poales; Poaceae. The record is from RNAcentral.
AUGCAAGGAGAAGCUGCUGCGGUUUCAAGGGGCCGUGAGGAUGCCCACCAUGAAGGCGUGUCUGGGAUGAUGGAGCUACAAAAUUGCAAUCUCGCGAAAAUGUUCUUGAAUACAGUAAUUUUUUUGUCACAUAACCCAUAUGCUGAUGAUAAAGUUUGUUGUAUGAGCUUGUGGCAUACUGAUCCGACAGGUGGCAGAAAACCACUAGGUAUUACAAGGGCAUCUUUCACACGUUGUCUACAAUUUGUAGAGAAGAGAAUGGUAGAGGAUUGUAAAGGCCUUUGGUCCACCUUAUUGGGAGUUGGACCUGAUAUAUCAAUCAACGUUUAUGUAUAUGAAUCCCUGAGGUCUCAUUGGAAAAUGGAAAGUUGA